Molecule: long non-coding RNA, 21905 nt
Filed under: Nicotiana benthamiana
Lineage: Eukaryota; Viridiplantae; Streptophyta; Magnoliopsida; Solanales; Solanaceae
Description: long non-coding RNA (NBEN_LNC011363)
Source: RNAcentral
AAAAAUGAUCAAUGGCUCACAAGCAUCCCCCCCAUUUUCAUAUAUCCCCGUCUCCCAAACCCUAACCCCAUUUCUCCUAAUCCACCCCUUCUCUACUUUCUCCCCUCUGAAUAUCCCAAGCCUGCCGCCUCACCAAACCCAUAUCUUAAUCUCAUUCCUAAUGUGAUUCUCUAUUACUUACCAUUUCAACGUAUUUCUUUUAUUUUGUGAUUCUUCACAGAAUUACCGAGUACUUGCCUAAACAUGGCAAGUAUCCCUACUUUGAGUUUGUCCUAAUCGAUCUUGUCUCUUGAAUCUGGAUGAUGUUAAGUCCACACAUGUUUAUUUGCACCGAGUGAGUCUGGUUUUAUGCAGAUCUUGCUGAUUCGUACUUAACCAUAAGGUUAGGGUUUACAUAUCCUCUUUGAUUUGAACCAAAAUUGUUUCAAGCUUUAAUUUUAAGUGUUAUCUCGUCUUUAUUCACCCUAUUAUGUGCGCACCUAUCUAUAUCUAUCAAUUAUUAUUACUUACCCUAAAUUAGGGUUUCAGACCAUUUUUGAUGAACCAAAUAUGGUUCGAUUCCAUGAUGUUGUGAAUAAUAUUCAUGUUUAUGUUCAUUUUAUGUAAUAUGUAAUCCUUUUGUCUUAUUUUCUGCCGAUUUUGCAUAGUUUACCAAAAAAGUAGGGUUUCAAUCUUUUCUUCCUUAGUGAUUUAAAUACUUACCCUUCUAGUGUUUGAAUUAAUUAUUUUUCAUGUUUAUGUGUUCAGUUCCUACACUAUUUAAACCUCUCCCCACUCGCCUUUGAGACAGUUCGAAAAAUUCUUUAAGUACACUAUAAACUAAAGUUGAAUGCUUUUCAUUCUGGAAUAAAUUUGUUCUAUAAUCUGAUUCAUGGCCGGCUGAAAGCCAAGGCCAAAAAUUGCUAAGUUCUUGCUUUGUUUGCUGAUACUCACAAUAUCGUUAGAUUUUCUUCUUCUUUGCUUCAUCUUAACUGGUGAGUUAUCAUACCUCUUCCAUUCUGUUCUGAUUAUUUGUUUAAUAUGUUACUUCAACUAGACUAUGUUAUCCUAAAUGAUAUUACAUUUGUACUGUAAGACAUGCUUAAAUCUACUUUUUGUUUGAUUAGUUUGAUUCUGCUAACCAUUUGUCAUUGAUAGUUAUCUCUUGAAGUUCAAUUAUGUUACUAUCCUGCUUUUUGAAUAUGUCGUCAUAUCUCCUUAUAUGGAAUAGUUAAUUACGCAUAGAUGUAUUCAUCAAUAGGAUUACAAGCCUGUUUUCUAAAAUUACUAUAAUGUGGCCUAUUUGAUUGUGUUUUAUCAUACAUUGACUGCCCUAAUUAUUUCCUAACAUAUCAUGAUCUAUUUAUUAUUGACAUGAUUUCUUCCUAUGACACUAGUUUAUGCACUUAGCCUAAUCUUCUUAUCUCUAUAAAUCUGUCAUAUGACUUGUCUUGUUAGCAUGUGAUUAAGUUUAUUUAUUGAAACUUGACUAACCCUUUCGAAAUUCAAGCAUGUCUACUAUUUGUUUGUAUAUGUUCAAUAUGGGUUCUGUCCUUCAGUGAGAAUCCUUGACUUCAUUAUAUUCCUAUACUAUCUAGUUCUUCUGAAUUCUUAUACUUAGCCGGCUGAAAGCCAAGGCUAUUUAGGUUCUAUCCUUUGGCCUCCCUAGUGUGAGCACUGGUCAGGGCUCAUAUGAGACUCUGACACACUAAGAACCGGUCCCUAGUCUUUCCCCUGAAUUAUUUCUGAUCAACUUCCGUAGUGUGAGCACUACCUUGGGUUCUUCAAGCCCUUGGGAACUCUGGCACACUAGGGUCUUGGGUUCUGUAUGCUCAGCCUUGAUAUAUGUUCACUGGGUGAAUCACUUAACAACUAGUUAUUAUAUAUCUAUGAACAUGAAUUGCGGAGAUGUUGUGAAUUGAAGGCAUGGCAUGUCCAUGUGUAUUUGGGCCUGCUGUAGGCUCCCAAUAGCUAUAUAUAUUCCAUAAUUAAUGACAUUCAAUUCUCGGUCUGUAAUAAUUAUUAUAAUAAAAACUCCGGGGUGUUAGUAAAAUUAGGAAUGUGUUUUUAAUCUUACAAUUGCAAUAAGUUGGGUAGAAAUGCUACUAAGAGGUCCGCUAAUAUGGUGUUGAAUAUUGUGUUAUAGAAAUCACGCCUAUAGGUUAAACACUUGACUCGGUUAUGUUCUUUUUUGCUUAUUAGAGACCAUGCCAAUAGGAAAUGGUAUGAUUCAAUGUGUGUGCAAAAAUCCUGGUACAUACUAUUUUGCUCACAAAUUAUAGAAAUUAUAUCUAUAGGAUCUAAACUGGAUCGAAUUUAAGAAAGCAUGCCUAUAGGUUUGAAUCGAUUUAAUUAUCAUUUUUGCUCGUUGAUUCAGGAAAUUAUCUUUAUACUAUGAUGUUACCAUCAUUAGAAAACAUGCCUAUAGGAUUAAAACAAGAAAUUCUGGAUAUAUUUUUGUGAUUUCCACUACUUAUUAUCGCGUGAAACACCUAGACAUCAUGCUAGUAGGUUUAAUCUCAUGAUAAAAAUCAGUAGGCAAACUUAUGCAGGUCAUGGUAAUUGUAUUAAGAAAUUAGCUUUAGCGCUUAACUCUCUACUCAUUCGUUCAAUAACACAUAGAGGUCCUGCCAAUAGGGUUCUGCAUUUUAAUUAAUUAAUUAAAAUCUAGUUAUGUUAAUCAGUUUGGCAUGCAUUUGCUGUCUGAAUGCGGAGGCUAACUUUAGCCCAUAUUUGCUUAUAUUUGAAAGUCCUAAACUAUUUUUUAUGUUGCUUAGUGUUUUCCCUUUUGAGCGGCCAAGAUUAAGGUCUAGACCCACCCUGAAAUAGAGGUCCAAAUGCCUCAUGGACCAUAGGUAUGGGACAGGUAGUGCGCGCAUAGGGUGCGACUUAGAAUUUACUAGAGCACUUUAGGUAAACAACUUAAAGAUAGUAAUCGGGUAGCAGGAGAUCAUAGUCUCCUCAAUGUACUUUGAGCCCUUACCCAAUCGUUGGUGAUGAAAACUAUUAAACCCGAGUCAUUUGCAAAUAGAUGCCCUAACACACCUUAAAAAUCGUUAGGUCACAACUCUCUCUUUUAAUACCCUUCAUUUGAAAGAGUUGUCACGUGUCCAAAGUCGAUUUUGCAAGAAAAAGUGGCGCGACAACAUGGCCGACUCUGCUGGGGAUACCAUUAGGCUCUUACCAUAACGAACUUGUUCUAUGUGAAUUAGUCUCUAUAAAUAAGCGUGUCUUUAUUAUUUUUCUUGAACAUCCCGCUCCUACUCUCCCUUUUAUUGCUACAUGCAUACCCCCUUCCCGAUUUUUCAUUUAUGUAAACUUACAUGCAAUUUUUUGCUUAAUAUGGUUACAAUAUGUAUCCCCUCCUUUAUUUCCCAAUCAUGUUCACUAGCUUCAAUCAUUAAAAUUUUAUUAUGUCUUUCACAAUUCCUACCCCUUUUAUCGCUUUAUUAUUCUUUUUCCAUUAUACUAACUAACUCUUUACUUGUUUUUCUUUCUUCUCUGUCAUUACAUUUAUUAAAUAUUGCAUCGCUUUACCUUGUAAAAUAAUUGACAACAUGUUGCUUUAUAUUUGCAUAAUUACAUGCUCUACAUAAUAAAGAAAAAGCUAAAGAAGUAUUGGGGAGAGGUAACCAUGUAAUAUAUAGCGAUGCUUUAGCUGACCAAGGAUAUGACCCUUGAUAGGAAAACAUGAAGGUCGAGAAUUAGGAUGGAUUGCUAGGUAAUCGGGUGUUUUUCUUAAUACAUGCGAGUAGUAGCAAUGUUAUGUAUUUUCUUAUUUGUAAAUUCUUAUUAAUAUUUUUUAUUUUUUUCACUUCGAUUUCAUGUUGGAUUGUUGGUGUUACUUCUUGUUGUUGCUGCUUCUUUUAUCAUCUUUCCUUGAGUCGAGGGUCUAUCAGAAAUAGGCUAUUUACCUUCCCAAGGCAGGGAUGUCACGACCCUAAAACAGAUCCCGUCAUGAUGGCGCCUAUCGUGAAACUAGGCUAGUCGACACAAACCCCCAAAUCAACUAAAAAGUUAUAAUAAUUCACUUAAAUUCAUUAAUAAGCUUAAUAUCCCAAAAUAUAGAGUAGAAAAUAAUAAUAUGGAUAUAAAUACAACCCGACAUCGGGUGUCACCAGUCAUAAGAAUCUACAACAUGUGUAGGAAUAACAAAAGACAACAUAGUCUAAUACAAAACUAGUACAAAGUGAAAUAAAGAUAAGAAGGAGAAGCACUAGGCUGCGAACGUCGAGCAGCUACCUAUUUAACUGCGAACAAGCCUGAUGAAAUGAAAAUUAGCACUCGCUAACAUGACCUGACACUCCUGAAUCUGCACACAGGGUGCAGAGAGUAAUGUGAGUAGACCGACUUAGUAAGGAAUAAAAGUAAAGGCAGGUGAACGACAAGAAAACACGUAAAACAUAGCAUAAUGCUACAAUAAAACAGUAUAAAUCCAAACCAAUGAAGUACUACAGUAAAAGCUCAUAAAAACACAUCAAUUCAGUAAAAACCUCUUUCAAACAUCUUCCCGUAGUUCAAACGAACGAUGAAAAUAGUGAGAAAAAUGAUAAAAACAUAAAUCAGCCCCUUGGGCAAAAUACCAACAAAACCAACCCCUCAAGCUACCUCACAAUACCUCGUAUCAGCUCCUCGGAUAAUAACAUGAAACAAAAAUAGCCCCUCGGGCAAUAUCACAUCUAACACUGGGCACCCGUGCUCACUGGGGAUGUGCAGACUCCGGAGGGCCUCCUACAGCCCAAGCGCUAUAUCAAGCCAUCUCUUGGCAUAAUCAAAUAAGGCCCUAUGCCUCAUAAUCAUGAAUUAGUACAACAAUGUUGCGACGCGCAGCUCGAUCCCGUAAUAUCCUCACAAUACAGGACCUCAUCCUCACUCAGUUAAAAAUCUCUCAAGCCCCUGGGCAACAGUAAAACAUGAUGCUCAGCCCAAAAUAUCAUUUAAAAUGUCAAAAUGGAAUAAAUAUGGCUGAGUUAUAAAAACAGUAGAAUACAUCAUGACUAAGUACGAAUGUGAAGUCAAAACAGUAUGGAAUAGUAGUAAAUAUCCCUUAAGGGUCUAAAAUAGAUGGCACGAGGCCCAAAUAUGGCAUUCAACCCAAAACAUGAUGAUACUUUCCAAAACACAAUGUUAGCAAAACAGUUUUCAAUAAAUGCGGUUUAACUGUCAUACGAGACGGACUAAGUCACAAUUCCUAACGAUGUACGGCCCCACACUCGUCAUCUAACGUUUGUGUCACCUCAAAGUAGCACAACAAUGUGAAAUCAGGGUUUCACACCCUCAGGACAACAUUUACGUCACUACUAACCUCUAUCUGGUCCAAACUCUAUUCCGCGAUGCCUUUUCCCCUCGAAUCGGCUCUGGAUGCUCCAAAUCUAUCCAAAAAUAGAUUUAUAUCAUCAAUAUUCUAAGGGAACAAAGCCCACUUGAACAUAACCAAUUUACAUCAUAAAUCCUGAAAUUGGUCAAACCCGGCCCUUAGACCCACAUCUCGAAUUCUAACAAAAAUCCAAAACUAGAAUCCUCGCACUCUCACGAUUUCAUAAUAUCAAAUGCAUAAAUAUCCGACCAUAAAUAUCCCCUCAAAUCGAAAUCUCAAGUUCCAAUCCCUAACUCCCCAGUUUUAGGCUUUAGAUUCUAUAAAUUUCAUGUUUAAUUAGGUAGAAAUCACCACAGGAUCGAGUACUAAGUCCAUAGAUCUUACCUCGAAGUUCUUUCCUUUGAUUCCCUCUUCAAUCCCUCUGAAAAAGGUCAAAAAUAUCUCAACAAUGGAGAAUCUUAGACCGAAAAUCAAGGAAGUGGUCUUUCCAACAUUCUGUCCAGCAUUUGAAAUCCCUUCUUUGUGAACGCGAUCAACGUCUCAUAUUCACGAAGAAGAAAAUUACGUUGACCAAUUAAUCUAUCAUCGUGAACACGACACCCUCUAAUAGAAUGAGAAGCUUCACCUCCUCAACCAAUCGCAAACACAACACCUACCUCGCGAUCGUGAAGCACAAUUGGACGUGGAUCCAGAUGUUCAGCUCCACUCUAUGGGAACGCGGCAAAACCAUCACCAACGCGAUGAACACUGACCCCAACCCUUCGCGGAUGCGGGAACCCCAUUGCGAAGACGAAGUCCAACCCUCCUGCCUCACAUCCUAACCCUUCAUAAACGCGAGAGCCCACUCAUGAAUGCGAAGGCCAAACGUCUGCAGCACUAACAGCAGAUUUUUCUGCAACUUUUCCAACUUGAACUUGAUCCGAUCAACCACCUGAAACUCACCCGAAGCAUUCGGGACCUCAACCAAAUAAGAGAACAUAUCCUAUGACCUUAUUCAAACUUGUUCCAACCCCGAAAAGCUCAAAACAACAUCAAGACACCAAAUUGACAUCGGAUUAAAGCCUAAGAAUUCCAAAACUUCCAAAUUCCGCUUUCGAUCAAAACGUCUAUCAAACCUCGUCUGAAUGACCAAAAAGUUUUCACAUACGUCAAAAAAUGACACAAUGAACCUACUCCAACUUUCAAAAUUUCAUUCUAAACACCAUAUCAAAAUCUCACAUAUCAACCGGAAAACGUCAAAAUUCCAAUUUUGCCAAUUCAAACCUAAAUCUACUCCAGACCUCCAAAACAUAUUCUGAUCACGCUCCUAAGUCCCAAAUCACCUCCCAAAGCUAUCCGAACCAUCGAAAUUAACAUUCGAUCCCUUUUCACAUUAGUCAACAUCCAAUUGAAUUUUGCAACAUUAGCUUACUCAAAAGCGACUAAGUGUCUCAUUCCUUUCCAAUACCUGUCUGAACCCUAACCAACCAACCUGAUAAUACAUAAUACAGCUGAACUAGAAAAUAAGAAGCAGAAAUGGGAUAAACAGAGAGGUAACUCAUGAAAUGACCGUCUAGGUCGUUAUAUCCUCCCCCUCUUAAACAAACGUUUAUCCUCGAACGGGUUAAGAAACAUAACUAAAGUCUCAAAUAGGUAAUGAUGUCUACUCAGCAUGUCCUGCUUGGUCUCCCAGGUAGCCUCCUCCACAAGCUGACCUCUCCACUUCACAUUCAUUGAAGCUAUACCCUUUGACCUCAACAUCCGAACCUGAAGGUCCAAAAUAACUAGUGGCUCAACAUCAUAAGUCAAAUCAUCAUCUAACUGAACAGUGCUGAAAUCCAAAACAUAAGACGGAUCGCCAAUAUACUUCUGGAGAAUAGAAACAUGAAAUAUCGCAUGCACACUCGAUAAGUUGGGUGGCAAAGCAAGCUCGUAAGCCACUUCCCCAAUCCUCCGAAAAACCUCAAAAGGCCAAAUGAACCGAGGACUCAAUUUACCCUUCUUCCCAAAUGUCAUAACACCCUUCAUGGGUGAAACCUUCAAUAGAACCUUCUCACCAACCAUGUAGGACACAUCCUGAACCUUCCUGGCAUCAUAACUCUUUUAUCUCGAUUACGUUGUACGAAGCCUCUCCUGAAUCACCUUCACCUUGUCCAAAGCAUCCUACACCAAGUCUUUACCCAAUAGCCUAGCCUCACCCACCUUAAAACAACCGACAGGAGAUCUACAUUGUCUCCCAUACAAAGCUUCAUAUGGAGCUAUCUGAAUACUUGACUGAUAACUAUUUGUAUAAGCAAACUCUACAAGCGGUAGAAACUGACCCCAUGGCCCUCCAAAAUUAAUUACACAAGUGCGCAACAUGUCCUCCGAUAUCUAAAUAGUGCACUCAGACUUACCGUCCAUCUGAGGGUGAAAAGUUGUGCUCAACUCAACCUGAGUACCCAACUCUCCCUGUACAGACCUCCAAACUGUGGAGUAAAUUGAGUACCUCUAUUGAAAUGAUAGAUACUGGGACAUCAUGCAAUGAACAAUCCCCCGGAUAUAUAUCUCUGCCAAUAGCUCUAAAGAAUAGGUAGUACACACAGGAAUGAAGUGCGGGAACUUGGUUAGCCGAUCCACAUACACCCAAAUAGAAUCGAACUUCUUCAAUGUCCGUGGGAGUCCAACUACAAAAUCCAUAGUGAUCCGCUCCCACUUCCACUUCGGAUUAUCCAUCUACUGAACUAAGCAACCCGGUCUCUGAUUCUCAUAUUUUACAUGCUGACAAUUCAGGCACCAAGCUCGAAAUCCCACAAUGUCUUUCUUCAUUCUCCUUCACCAAUAAUGUUGUCUCACAUCCUGAUACAUCUUCACGGUACUUGGAUUAAUGGAAUACCCCGAGCUAUGGACCUCCUCCAAAAUUAACUCCUGAAGCCCAUCUUUAUUUGGCACACAUAUCUGGCCAUGCAUCCUCAAUAUCCCAGCAUCACCAAUGGUCACAUCUUUGGCAUUGUCGUGUUGGACUCUAUUCUUAUGGACAAGCAAAUAAGGAUCAUCAUAUUGGCACUCUCUGAUCCGAUCAAAUAAGGAAGAUCGGAAAAUCACACAAGCCAAUACCCGACCGGUAUCCGAAAUAUCUAACUUCAUGAACUGAUAUGUCAAGACGUGAACAUCAACUACAAGAGGCCUCUCCCCAACAGGAAUAUACACCAAACUCCACGUAAUAACCGCCAUCCUACUCAAGGAAUCGACCACCAUAUUAGCCUUCCCCAGAUGGCACAAAAUAGUGAUACCAUAGUCCUUUAGCAGCUCCAACCAUCUAUACUACCUCAAAUUGGUAUUCUUCGUCUUGAACAAGUGUUGGAGGAUACGAUGAUCAGUACACACCUCAUAAGACACAUCAUAAAGAUAAUGCCUCCAAAUCUUCAACACGUGAACAAUGGAAGCCAACUUCAAAUCAUGAACAAGGUAGUUCUUCUCAUGGGGCUUCAAGUGACGAGAAGCAUAAGCACUAACUCUACCCUCCUACAUCAACACACACCUAAUACCAACUCUGAAAGCAUCACAAUACACUGUAUAUGAACUUGAAGCUGAUGGCAAAACUAACAUUGGAGUUGUGGUCAAGGAAGUCUUGAGCUUCUGAAAGCUCUCAUCACACUCAUCUAACCACAUGAAAGGAGCACCCUUUUGAGUCAACUUGGCCAAGGGUGAUGCGAUAGAUGAAAAUCCCUAAACGAACCGAUGUUAAUGACCCACCAAACCAAGAAAGCUACAAAUGUCUGUGGCGGAGGACGGUCUGGGCCAACUCUGAACCGCCUCUAUCUUCUUUGGAUCGAUCUGAAUAACCUCGCUAAACACCAUGUGCCAUGAGAAAGCCACUGAACUAAGCCAAAACUCACAUUUGGAGAACUUUGCAUAAAGUUUCUCCUCCUUCAAUCAUUGCAACACAACUCCCAAAUUAUCCACGUGCUCCUCCUGACUACGAGAGUAUACCAAAAUGCCAUAAAUGAAAACUAUGAAAAAUGAGUCGACAUAAGGCCAAAACACGUUGUUCAUCAAAUGCAUCAACACUGACGGGGCAUUGGUCAGCCCAGAAGACAUCAUCAGGAACUCAUAAUGACCAUAUCGGGUCCUGAAAGUUGUCUUAAGAAUAUCCAAGUCCCUGAUCUUUAGCCGGUGAUACCCUGAACAAAGAUCAAUCUUGGAGAACAUUAUCUCUCCCUCAAGCUGGUCAAACAAAUCAUUAAUACAAGGCAAAGGAUAUUUGUUCUUGAUUGUUACUUUAUUCGAGUGCUUGUAAUCAAAGCACAUCCUCAUCGUGCCAUCCUUCUUCUUCACAAAUAGAAUAGGCGCACCCCAACGCGACACGCUAGGCUUAAUAAACCCUUUAUCAAAGAGUUCCUAAAGUUGCUCCUUCAACUUCUUCGACUAUACCGGUGACAUACGGUACAGUGGAAGAGAAAUGGGUUGAGUGCCUAGCACAAGAUUAAUACAAAAAUUAAUAUCCCUGUCCGAUGUCAUGCCCGGCAAGUCUGCAUGAAACACAUCAGGAAAAUCCCUCACAAUAGGAACAGAAUCAAUAUUAGGAGUCUCUGCACUGACGACCCUCAAAAAGGGUAAGUAUGAAGUACAACCCUUCCCAAACAUAUGUUGGGCCUUCAAGAAUGAAAUUACCCUACAAGGAACAUAAACAGUCGAACCUCUUCAUUUAAUCUGUGGCACACCCAGCAUAGCCAAUGUCACCGUCUUAGCAUGACAGUCCAAAAUAGCAUGACACUGAGAUAGCCAAUCCAUGCACAAUAUCACAUCGAAGUCUACCAUACAAAGCAAUAGUAGGUCCACUCGAAUCUCCAUACCCCCAAUACUCAUCACACAUGACCGGUAUACAUGGUCUAUAAUAAUAGAAUCAUCCACCAGUGUAGAUACAUAAACAGAUAAAAUAAGAGACUCACGGGGCGUAUCCAAAUAAUGAGAAAAAUAUGAUAACACGUAUGAAAAAGUGGAAACGGGAACAAAUAACAUAGAGGCAUCUCUGUGGCAGACUGAGACAAUACCUGUGAUCACAACAUCUAAAGCAAUAGCUUCAGGUCUAGCUGGAAGUGCAUAAAAAUAGGCCUGACCACCACUUGAUCGACCUCCCCUUCUAGGGUAACCCCUACCUAACUAACCUCUACCCCUAGCUGGUUGGGUGGGUGGUGGUGAAGUAACUGGAACUGAAGCCGGUGGUUGAAUCCUAUCUGAGACAAACCCCUAAGACGAUGAGGACACUGCCUCUACAUGUGACCCAACUCUCCACACUCAUAAUAACUCCUUGGUGUUUAAGACGGGGACUGAAAAGAACCAAUAGCACAAGAAUGACUAGCAGAUGCACCUGGAACUGAAGAGGCAUGAACUGAUUGAGCACCUGACGAACUCUAUGUUGGAAGGGCACUAAGUAAUGAAUGGCCCUAAUGGGAACUAUGAGAACCAUGACCCAAUGAUGCCCCACGAUAACCUAGGUGAGCUGACUGAACAUGCCUGAAUGGAUGGUCUCUACUGUGCUGAAACUGACCCCUCGAAGGACCACCACAAUAGAUACCAGAUCCCCGAAGUUUCUUCUCCUCCCUCUAAUCUCGCUCCUGGCAAUAAACUAACUCAAUCUCGUGAGCAGUGUCAACAACCUCCUCAAAAGUAGCACCAGACACUCUAUCCCUGGUCAUGAGAAUCUGAAGCUGAUACAUGAGGCCAUCAACAAACCUCGUGAUCCUUUCUCUAACCGUAGGAACCAACCAAACAGUAUGACGAGCUAACUCUGAGAACCUCAUCUCACACUAUAUCAAAGUCAUAUUUCCCUUACGCAACUGCUCGAACUGCAUGUACAGCCCUGCUCUACAAGACUGUGGCACAUACUUCUCUAAAAAGAGAGCGAAGAACUGCUACCAAGUAAGGGGUGCUGCACCGGUAGGCAUACUCUUCUCAUAAGCCUUCCACCAAGUGAAGGCAGCUCCUGAAAAUUGAAAAGCAGUAAAUGCGACCUCGCUAGUCUCCAAAAUACCUACAGUACAAAGAAACCUCUUACACUUGUCCAAGAAACAUUAGGCAUCCUCGCCCUCGAUACUACUAAAUAUUGGAGGCGGAAGUAUACAAGCCUCUCCAACCUGCGUUGUUCGUCCUCUAGCAUAACUGGAGCUACAUAGUCCUGAUUACUUGUAACCAGCUAGGCUGGCGGUGCUCCCAAUGUCUGAAGUCCAUGCACGACCUGCUUAGUUGUGCAAGCGGUAGGAGUCUGAGUGCCUCCCCCAUCUUGAGAAGUAGUUGCAUCUAUAGUAACUGAGACCACCUGAGCUAGGCCAGUGUAUACUGAUAGAAUUUGGGCCAGGCCCUCCUAAAGACAUGGAAUCACAAUGGGCACAGCUGGUGCCUGAGAUGGUGCUACUGGAACAUCUAGAACUAGGACCUCAUAAUGAACUGGGGCAGCUAGUGGAUCUUCAUGUGCUGCCCUAGCUGUUGUGUAGGCUACAUCCCUGCCCCUACCACAGCCUAGGCCAUGUCCUCGACCUCUAGUGGCCCCAGCUGGUGGUAAUGGUGCUCGUCCAUCUUGACCGAUAGCACGUGUCUUCACCAUUUGUGAGAGAAUAGAAUAACAGAAGUUUAGUACUCGGAUCAAUUGAUUAGCACGACGAGAAUUCAAGAAUAAGAAGUUUUCCUAAAAGUUUUGCAGCCUCCCAAGGAUAAAUAUAGACUUCCAUGUACUGAAACGCAAGACUCUACUAAAAUUGCUCAUAAUUCGUGAGACCUAUGUAACCUAUGCUUUGAUACAAACCUGUCACGACCCUAAAAUUGACCAGGUCAUGAUGGCGCCUAUCAUGAAACUAGGCCAACCACACAAACACCCAAAUCAGCUAAAAAGUUAUAAUAAUUCAUUUAAAGUCAUUAAUAAGCUAAAAAUCAAAAAAUAUAGAGUAGAAUAUAACAGUGCGGAAACAAACACAACCCGACAUUGGGGUGUCACCGGCCAUGAGCAUCUAUGACUCGUCUAGAAAUAACAAAAGAUAUCAUAGUCUGCUACAAAAGUAGUACAAAGUGAAAGCAAACGCCAAGAAGCUACCUAGUCAACUCCGAACAAGCCUGCUGGAAGGCAAAUCAGCACUAGCUAGCAUGACCAGAGACUUCUGAAUUUGCACACAGGGUGCAGGGACUAAUGUGAGUAUGCCAACUAAGUAAGUAAUAAAAGUAAAGGCAGCUGAGCGAUAACAAAACACGUAAAACACAGCAUAAUGCUACAACAAAAUAGUAUAAAUCCAAAACAAUGCAGUAGUAUAGUAAAAGCUCGCAAAAACACCGUAGUUCAGUAAAAACCUCUUUAAAACAUCUUCCAUUAUUUCAAAAGAGCGAUUAAAAGAAUGAGAAAAAAGGAUAGAAACAUAAAUCAGUCCCUCAGGCAAAAUACCAAAAGAACAAGCCCGCCAAGCUACCUCUCAAUCACUCGUAUCAGCCCCUCGGGCAAUAAUAUGAAACAACAAUAGCCCCUCAGGCAAAAUGACAUCUCACACAUGGUACCUGCGUUCACUAGGGGUGUGCAGACUCCAGAGGAGCUUCUACAGCCCAAGUUCUAUAUAAACCCAUAUCGUGGCUUAAUCAGAUCAGGACCUAUGCCUUAUAAUCAUGAAUCAGUACAACACUGCUGCGACGCGCAGCAGGAUCCCAUUAUGUCCGCACAACACAGACUCUCGGCCUCACUCAGUCAAAAAUCUCUCAAGCCCAUCGGGCAAUAGUAAAACAUGAUGCUCAACCCAAUAUAUCAUUUAAAAUGUCAAAAUGGAGUAAAUAUGGAUGAACUAUAAAAAUAGUAGAAUACAACAUGACUGAGUACGAAUAUGAAGUCAAAACAGUAAGGAAUAGUAGUAAAAAUCCCCUAAGGGUCCAAAAUAGUUGGCACGAGGCCCAUAUAUUCCAUUCAGCUCAAAACAUGAUGAUACUUACCAAAAUACAAUGAUAGCAAAAAAAUUUUCAAUAAAUUACGGGGAUUAACAGCCAUACGGGACGGACUAAGUCACAUUCCCCAGUGGUGCACGACCCCACACUUUUCAUCUAGUGUGUGCGACACCUCAAAGUAGCACGACGAUGUGAAAUCAAGGUUGCAUACCCUCAAGCCAGCAUUUACAAUCAUUACUUACCUCUAUCCGGUCCAAACUCUAACCAUGUGAUGACUUUGCCCAUUAAAUCGGCCUCUGAAUAGUCGAAAUCUAUCCAAAUAUAGAUUUAUACCAUCAAAAUAUGCUAAGGGAAUAAAGCCAACUUGAAAAUAACCAAUUUCCAUCAAAGAUCCCGAAAUCGCUCAAACCCGACCACCGGGUCCACCUCUUGGAUUCCGACAAAAAUCACAAAACUAAAAUCCUUGCACUCUUACGAGUUCAUACAUAUCAAUGCAUCAAAAUCUGACCACAAAAAUCCCCGCAAAUUCUCAUAGCAAAAUCUCAAGUACCAAGCCCUAACUCCCAAAUUUUAGGCUUUAGAUUCCAUAUAUUUUAUGGUUAAUAGGUAGAAAUCAUAGUAGGAUCGAGUAUUAAGUCCAUAAAUCUUACCUCUAGGUGUUUCCCUUUCAUUCUCUCUUUAGUCCUUCUCAAAAAGCUCCAAAAUCGCUCAAUAAUGGUGAAACUUAGACCCAAAAUUGCGGAAGUGGUCUUCUAAUCAUUCUGUCUAGCACCUAAAAUCCCUCCUUCGCGAAUGCAGUCAACGCCUUACGUUUGUAAAGCACAAAAUUCCGUUGACCACUUAAUCAAUCUUUGCGAACGCAACACGCUGUAUGCAAACGCGAAUCUUCAUCUCCUCAACCAAUCUCGAGCGUGACAGCUAGCUCAAAAACGUGAAGCACAAUAAGACCUGAACCCAGCUGCUCAUCUUUACUCUACGCGAACGCGAAGCACAACUGGACCUGGACCCAGCUGCUCACCUGUACUCUACGAGAAUGCGGAAAAACCAUUGCGAACACGAUGAACACUGACCCAAACCCUUCACGAAUGUGGGACACCCAUCGCAAGCGCGAAGGCCAACCCUUCUGCCUCACAUCCUAACCUUUCACGAAUGCGAGAGCCCACUCGCGAAUGCUAAGGCCAAACAUCUACAACACCAACAGCAGAUUUUUCUGCAACCUUUCCAACUUGAACUUAAUCCAAUCAACCAGAUCUCUGUGGCUGACUGAGACAAUNNNNNNNNNNNNNNNNNNNNNNNNNNNNNNNNNNNNNNNNNNNNNNNNNNNNNNNNNNNNNNNNNNNNNNNNNNNNNNNNNNNNNNNNNNNNNNNNNNNNNNNNNNNNNNNNNNNNNNNNNNNNNNNNNNNNNNNNNNNNNNNNNNNNNNNNNNUAAGCACAACUGGACCUGGACCCAGCUGCUCACCUGUACUCUACGAGAAUGCGGAAAAACCAUUGCGAACACGAUGAACACUGACCCAAACCCUUCACGAAUGUGGGACACCCAUCGCAAGCGCGAAGGCCAACCCUUCUGCCUCACAUCCUAACCUUUCACGAAUGCGAGAGCCCACUCGCGAAUGCUAAGGCCAAACAUCUACAACACCAACAGCAGAUUUUUCUGCAACCUUUCCAACUUGAACUUAAUCCAAUCAACCAGCCAAAACUCACCCGAGGCCCUCGAGACCCCAAUCACACAUUCCAACAUAUCUCAUUACCUCAGUCAAGCUUGUUCCAAUCCUCGGAACGCUCAAAACAACAUCAAAAUACCAAGUUGACAUCGAAUUCAAGCCUAAGAAUUUCAAAACUUCCAAAUUUCGCUUUCGAUCAAAAAGUCUAUCAAACCUCGUCCGAAAGACCUGAAAUUUUGCACACACAUCAAAAAUGGCACAAAGGACAUAGGUCUAAACUUCUGGAAUACCAUUCCACCCCCUAUAUCAAAAUUUCGACUAUCAAUCGGAAAACGCAAAAAUUCCAAUUUCGUCAAUUAAAGCCUAAAUCUACUCCGAACAGCCAAAACACAUUUCGAUCAUGCUCCUAAGUCUCAAAUCACCUCUAUCCAAACCAUCAGAAUUCAUAUCCGAGCACUUUUUUACGUAAGUCAGCAUCUAGUUGAUUUUUCCAACCUUAGUUUACUCAAAAGGGACUAAUUGUCUCAUUCCUUCCAAAACCUCUCCGAACCCAAACAACCAACCCGAUAAUACAUAAUACUACUGAAAAAGACAGUAAGAAGUGGAAAUGGUAGAAAUGAAGCGGUAACUCAUGAAAUGAUCGUUGGGGUCGUUACAAGGGAUAAGAUCUCAAACCUCACUUGUAAGAUUACACUGGGUAAUAUUAUUGUGGAUAAACUAUAAUAGACGUUUUUAUUCAUUUUUCCCACAUAGAUCACCCUCUCAAUUCUAAUUUUCUCACUCGCUUUCUUUUUUAUGUUUCUAAUUAAAUCAAUUUACAUAAUGGACAGUCUUCCUCGUAUGUGUAGGCCUCGAAUAAGGAGUAAAGUGUGGAAUUAUUUUGAUCAGAAAAACACAUACAAUACAAUAUUAACUUUGUAGAAAAAAAUAUAACCACGAUUUCAAGACUAAUAGAGGGAACGUGUAUUCUUCUCAGACACUUGUUUGUGUCAUGACCCCAGUUUUCCCUCCGUGAACUAUUGUGACAGCACCUAGUCUCUACGACUAGGUAAGCCUAACAAUUGCAGAAAAAGGGAAAACAAUAUAUAAAACUGAUAAAACUGCCGAAUAAACAUGAUGAAGGUUUAAAAUGCCCUUCCGCAUAUACAAUAUAACUCUCAAACUGAACAACUUCCCAAAACUCAGAAUCGCAUGAAAUCACAAGUUGUUGAAUAACUACAAGUGUAUAACUCCAGAAUGUCUAAACAAAAUUAAAAAAAGGGCUAUAAGUACAAGAGAGAAUGGAGAGGGACUCCUCGGUCUACGAAUAUAGCAGAUAUACCUCGAAGUCUUUGAAGAAUCGCCUCGCCUCAAGGAUAGUAUGGCUAAGUUGAAGAACCUGGAUCUACACGCGGGAAAAACAUGUGCAGGAAAGGGCAUGAGUACACCACAGCGCUACACAGUAAGUUCUAAGCCUAACCUCGAUCGAGUAGUGACGAGGAAGGUCAGGGUCCUACCGGUCAUAUACAAUAAUAUAUAAGGAAAAGAAGCACUACUAAAAUAAUACAAGGCAAUAAGAGUAGCAAAACCUAUAACAGAGACAGUAUAAUUACAUAACGGAUACAACUCAACACAGAGAUAACAACCGGGGAUCUCCUAGGAUACCGUCAUGUAGUCCCCAAAUGUAAAUAUUCAGUGGAUCUCCUAAUGUCAUCUCAUAGUCCAACUCAUAGUGCGCGAAGAUCUACCUGAAUUCAGAUCUGUAGUCCCAAAUGUAAAUACCUAGUACUGGAGAAAUCUACGAUGUGCGGUAUAAAUUUGCAGGGAGAUCUACCGGAAUGCAAAUCCGUAGAGCCAAAGUAAACAUGCAGAGGGAUCUCCAGGGAUACUGUCCCGUAGUCCCAAAAUAAACACAUAACAGCAACACGAAAAAUAUUCAAUUAAAUCCAAAUUUUAUACAAAGGUAAGUAGUUAUUUGUAACCUAGCAUGCUGCAUACAAUUCAAAUAAAGUAGUUGUAGCAAGUAAGGAAAUGAAGUCAAUUAGACAUGCUUCCCUAAGCUAACAGUAAGCUUAAAUUGCAAGUAGUAUAUAUAGGGAAGAAAACACAGUUAUAGUUACUUAAUGAAAAUAGGAUUUUCAACAAUUAGCAUAUAUACGCACUCAUCACCUCAUGUAUAAGGCAUUUCAUAUAUCAAUAAUACCAAAUCUUAAGGGGAGUUUUCCCAUACAAGGUUAGGCAAGCCACUUACCUUGAACCGGCUCAAAAAUCAACCUGAAACCAUGCUCUUGCCAUGAGUACUUGACUCCAAAUAGCCCAAAUGUAUUCAACUCAAUUGCAUAAUGUAAAUAUAACAUCAAGUAACUAAUUCCACUAAUUAAUUUGAAGCUAACAUGCGAAAUUAAGAAAAUUUCCCAAAAAGUCUCCCUGCCCCAUGUAUCAAAAUCGGGUAAAAGUUGUAGAUUAUGAACCCUCAUUCACUCAUGAGUCUAACCAUACCAAAGUUAUCCAAAUCCAAUUUCAAAUCCCCAAUCCAAACUCAAAAAUUAGGCCUAAUAACUUUUCCAAAUUUUCCCAAUUUCUCACCCCAAAUCCGAAAUUAGAUGAUGAAUUUGUGUUUAGCUUAACGGUCAUAAGCAUAAAGGAGUUAAGAAUCAGUACCCGCAAACUCCCUCCGAAAAUCUCUCCAAAAUUUGUCUCCUACCGAGCUCCGUGUUCAAUUUUAUGAUAUGAACUAAAAACCCUAGAUUUUUAACUUUAUGUCCUGCCCAGACGCGACCUUAAUCGCUAUCAAGAAAACUCCCACGCGAUCGCAAAGAGCAACAUCACUGACCCCCAAAUUAACCCUACGCAAACGCAAUUCUUGCACUACUCAGCUCUAUAUUGUUGCAAAAGACCUCAUGUAAUCGCAAAGAGCAACUUCCACUACUCAGCGGCCUCACUUUUUUCUCUUCGCAAACACGGUGUAGCCCACGCGUUCUUGAUUCACUUCUACCAAAACUACGUGUUCGCACUCCCUUUCCCAUGAUCUCAUAUAACAAAAUCCUUUCUGCUUCAAAUAAGCCUUCGCAAUCGCAAACCUCCUCACGCGAUCGCGAUGAAGAAAAGUCUACAACAUAAAAUCAAAAAAAAUUGAUCCUUCUCCAGGUCCAAAAAUGGUUCGUAUAGCUCAGAAACACACCCAGUCCCGCGAGACCUCAACCGAACAUGCCAACCAAUCCUAAAACAUCAUUCAAACUUAUUCCAACCUUCAAAAUGCUCAAUACAAUAUCAAAACACCAAUUUAACCUCAGAUUCAAGCAUAAGAACUCCAAAAACUCUCAAAUUACUCUUUUGAUCAAAUAGUCUAUCAGACCUCGUCCGAAUAACCUAAAAUUUUGCAAGCACAUCACAUUCAACACGACACAGCUACUCAAACUUCUGGAAUUCCAUUUCGAUCUCGAUAUCAAGAUUUCACUAUCGAACCGGAAACUUAAAAAAUUUAACUUUCGUCAUUUCAAGCCUAAAUAAUCUACGGACCUACAAAAAAAAUUUGAACACGCUCCUAAGUCAAAAAUCACCAACGGAGCUAAUGGAACUGCCGGAAUUCCAUUUCGAGGCCAUAUUGACAUUGCUCCUACUAUAGUCCAAUUUCUAAGCUUAAGCUCUCAUUUAGGGACUAAGUGUCCCAAAACACUCCGAAACUUAAAACAAAUCAUCCCGGUAAACAAAAUAGCAGAAACAAAUACGUUGAAAGCAGUGAACGGGGGAUUCGGACGUUAAUUCAUAAAUGUACUGGCUGGGUCGUUACAAUUUGAUUGGUACCCAUAUGUAAUAGAUGAAGAAGAAGGCUACUAGAAGGUGAGAAAUUGAAUUGUUUUAGAAUAAAGAUACAAAGGAAGUAGCAGAAGAUCGUCAACAGAUAGAAUUUGAAGUUUUUCCUUAUUUUUUAUUUAGCUUAUUAAAUCAAAAAAUUAGUAUUUAUAAGCUUUGAAUGAAUUUUACUAUUAUGAAUUGAAGUUUGAUUUAAUUGUUCUAAUUUUUUUUUUGCAAGUUUAAGAAUAAAAAUAGAACUUGAAAAUUAUCUUAAAAUCUGCAUGUUCAAGGUAUUAAUUAAUAAAUUUUGAGGCUCUUAAGAAUUUGAAGCUCUUAUCCAAAUAUUGGUCUUACUGGUGUCACGACCGUGAUGGCGCCUAACAUGAAACUAGGCCAGCCGACAUAAACCCCAACACAAAUCAGAGAUUCAUAAUAAGUCAUUAUAAGCCAUUAAUUAGCUAAAAAUCCCAUAAUAUAUGUUAAAAUAAAAAAUACAUAAACAUAACACAAGCCCGACAUCGGGGUGUCACCAAUCAUGAGCAACUACCAACUAGUCUAGGAACAAGUAAGGACAAUAUAGUCUGAAAAUCAAUACUAAGACAGUGUGAAUAAGAUAGGAAGGAGAAGCAUUGGGCUGCAAACGUCAAGUAGCUACCUAGUCAACAUUGGAGACCUGUCGGAAGACUGAUCAAUACUCACUAUCGUGCCCCGAGACCCCUAGAUCUGCACACAAGGUGCAGGGAGUAAUGUGAGUAUGCCAACUCGGUAAGUAAUAAAAGUAAAUAAAGUUGAGCAGCAAGAAAAAAGAAAAUAUCACGUCAUGGCACUUCAGCAGAACAGUAUAUGUCCAAAACAAACAGUAGAGCAUUAAAACUCGUAAAAACAACUUAGUUUGGUAAAACCUCUUUAUAACAUCUUUCAAUACACUCAAACGAGUGAUGAAAAUAGUGGGUAAAAGUUAUGAAAACAGAAACAGCCCCUCAGACAAAACAUGUACCACAACGGCCCUCGAACAAAGUAUCAACAGAACCAGCCCAUCGGGCUACCUCGGAAUCACUCGUAAUCAACACCUCGGAAACAAUAUCCCCUCGGGAAUUAUCACUUCUUACACUAGGUACCCGUGCUCACUAGGGGUGUUCGGACUAUCGAACAGCUUUUAUAGCCCAAGCGCCAUCAUAAUUCAUCUCGUGGCAUAACAAAGCAGGUCGUUGGCCUCUCAUACAUAACAAUCAAUACACAUGCUGCGGUACGCAGCCCGAUCCCAUGAUAUCCUCACAAUACAGUCCCUUGAUGUCACUAAGUCAGAGAUCUCUUGUCACGCCCCAAACUAGGGGAGGACGACUGGCACUCAAUACUGUAUUUGAUCGAAUUAGCCACUAAAUUGUAAGGCCACGUGAAAACCUGUAUUCAAAACCUUGUAGCUCAUUGUGCUAAAUUACGGGUAUAUGGUAGGAAUAUGCAAAAAGCUUGCCACGGUUUGGAUCCUUUGUACUGAUCUAAGCAUAUAAAAAUAAAGAACUUAAGUUUCCCAAAAAAGUGUCACUAUGAGGUUCAAAAUGAAGUUGCAAAUCAAGUAUGCGGACCGCAUUUCUACCGCAAAUUGAGUCAGUGGCUUGGUUAAAAUUUAGGGUAAAAUGUGGUCCAUUAUGCGAUUGCAUAACUGAUAUGCGGAUCGCACAGUCACUGUAUAAUUUCCUAAGGAUUUUGUAAAGGGCAGUUUUGCAGUGCAUUAUGCGACUGCAGAAAAGAAUGCGAACUGCAUUCUGACCGCAAACUUAAACAGUACACCCAGUUUUUGGGAGUGUUUCUGCGGUCCAUUCUGCAAACCGCAUUCUCGCUUUGCGAUUGCAAAAUGCGACCGCAAACCUGACUCGAGCUCUUAUUGUAUAAAUUUUAAAAUUCGACCAUACCUCGUUAAAUAACACCGCCAUAGGCUAUUUCUGAUUAUUGUUCCAAUAUAUAGAGAGGGGAGAGAGUUCUAGAGUGACAAAGAGUGCCAUCCAUCAAGCCCCAUCAAAAUUCAUGACAAAUUUCUUGAAGAUUGCUAAUUGAAGCUUCUAGGUCUUCCUCGUAACUGUUCCCCCACCCCUAAUUUCAAGAAUUUUGUUAAAAACAAGUAAUUAGUAAGAGGGUACAUAGUGUGCAAGGAUAGAAAUCUUGCAUGCAUAGUUAACAAUGGGGUAUGGGAAGAUCAUGGCUUUAAAAUACAGUAAUUAGAGUAGAAAGUGAUAAAAUCUCUCACAAAAAGGAACAAAAAACCACAAUGUACACCUAGUGCUUGUCAAUAUUCUCAAAUGAGCUUGGAUCUUGAUCGUAUCUAUAAUUCAUUGCUAAAUUCAUGGUCUUCACAAAAUAAAUCGAAGUUGCUAGGAAAUUCCAGGAGUUUUUGUAAGGAAUUAAUGGAGACUCCAUUCAGGUAUGUAUGGCUAACCCUUUUGUUUUAGUGUGCAAUUCAUGUGUUCAAUAGUUGAAUUAAAAUUUCAAAUUUGAUUCUACUUGGUUGAUUUCAUUUAUGUGUUGAGUAACGGACUUCCAUUCUGCAUUGUUCUAUGUGUAUUCAUUUGAAAUCUGGGUAGUUAACAAGGUCAUCAUGUCUUUUGAGAAUUCGUUAUUUCCCUAAGCAUGUUCUUGACUUGUAUGAUAGAUCUGGAUAAAUAAAUGAAAGGAUUACAUGAACAAACUGACAAAAAGAGAAGGCAUGUGUUGUGUUGAUGAAUCUGUGUGCCAAGGAGCACAUCAAUGAAAAGAGGUGUAAUACCCAGUGUGGAAAAAGAUGGAUGGAAAUGGAAACCGAAGAGUAAUUAAAAGAGGUUAUGUCACAAGUUAGAUGGCUUAGCCAAUCAGGUCGAGAUCGGACGCCAUGUUAUACAUAUGGUGGCAUUUAUAUAGGGAGUAAGAACAUUAUUGUGAGUAUGGAUAUGUCUCACUUAGGAUGUCUUAGCCGGUAGGGUAGAGACCGGACUCCGUGAUAACAACCCCAUGGUGGUAUUAUAUUCUAAAGACAUGAUAUUUGGCACUAAUAAACAGUAACUUAAAAGGAAGAACAUAUUUAACCAACAAUCCUGCAAGACUUAUUUGGUGCUCCUACUUGAAUUUUCUGUGAUGUAACUGUUGAUGAUCUAAAUGUUCCUUCUUACCUUGUUUCACUGUUCAUUCUAUUAGAAUUGUGUUUUUCAUGCAUACUAGUACUAUUCAACAGUGCUAACGUCCCUUUUACCGGGGGUACUACGUCUUUGAAUGGAUGUAGGUGGUUCGGUUGCUGAUAGUGCCGAUCGCAGAUAGUGGUGCACCUUCCUCUUCA